RNAcentral lists this long non-coding RNA (1190 nucleotides) under Sus scrofa (pig). Its description in RNAcentral is "lncRNA (ENSSSCG00060042353.1)". Lineage: Eukaryota; Metazoa; Chordata; Mammalia; Artiodactyla; Suidae. The record is from RNAcentral.
UUUUUUUUUUUUUAAAGGGACGACAUUUAUUCCUUUUCCAAAUGUUACAAUAAAACCAGGUGGAAGAGAAUGGUUUUAGCAGUUAGAAAAGAAAAAAAAAAAAGUACAAAUCUGGGGUUUGGCCAUUAAAAGUUAUUUACAACAAUGGGAGGGGGAAAAAAAAAAGACAACAAGAAGUUGUUUCACAUUACAGACCUCCCCCCACCCCAAAGCUUAAUACUUGCUUACCAAGUCAAAAAAGAGACAGUUGAUUCACAAGCUGGAGGUUCGAACUUGAGUAAGACAUUUAUAAAAACCUAGACAGGGGCUCUGUCCUCCCCAGCCCAGGUGCCACUAGGCACAGCACGAGAGACUAGAAACUCAACAGGGGAAGGCUGGACACUCAGGAUUUGGGAGUGUAGGCACCCCCAGAUCUGGCUCAGGGAUUUGGGGAAUAAACAAAACCUACUUGGAAAAGAAUUGGGGGAGAAAACCAGCAACUGCCUUCUGCAUGGGUGGGGACAGGGAAGGAGGGAGGGCCAGGGGCAGGAGCAUUUCACAUCACUAACCUAACUGGGGAGACUGCAAAGGACCACCUUCAGCUGGCCUUAGGAGGAAGACCAGAUGGAUGAUGGGAGAAUCCACAGGAGGGAGAGGAGAGGGAACGUGGCUAGGGGGCAACAGCCCCUUCCUUUCUGGGCACAGGAAGGCAGCCAGGGCACCAGGUCCAGGCAGUGACCUCACAAGGACAGCACAGUUUUUGCAGCUUAGAGGUCACCCACCUGCCCCCACCCAGCUACUCAUUCUGCUCGCUGGCUGGUGUAGGGCCACUCUCCGGCCCCAAGGGAGUGGAUGGCUCUGUGGCCUGGGGCCCUGCCUCUUCUUCUGUGUCUCCGCCCUUGGAGGCAGCACCAGCCUCUGCCCCUUUGGCCUGGGGCUCCUGGCUCUCACGGGUGGCAACAGCCUUCCCUUCCUGGGCAGUGCCUUCCUCGCUGCAGGCACCGAUCUCCCCCUGCUCUUGCUCUUCCUCUGUGGGCGAGGAGCCACCCCGGGCUCGCGCCGCAGGGGAUAGUUCGGUCGGGUGGGCCUGGCCGGCGGAGGGGUGGGGCUCACGCCUGAGGGGGAAGGGUGUCGGGGGGAAACCGACUGCACCCCCGCUCCGUGCCCGACCCGCUGGCUGCGCCCGCCGCCUCUCUGCUCCGCGCCAGAAU